This is a long non-coding RNA of Oncorhynchus tshawytscha (Chinook salmon), 516 nucleotides long. The record is from Ensembl. Lineage: Eukaryota; Metazoa; Chordata; Actinopteri; Salmoniformes; Salmonidae.
CUGGUUCUGGUUCUUUGUGGUCUUUAGGGUGGACAGGUGUUCACCUUUGGAGAGGGAAGCCGAGGCCAGCUUGGGCACAAUGCAUCAGCUAACGAACUCCUACCCAAACUGGUAGAGGGUAUGGAUGGACUGGCCUCACAGAUAGCAUGUGGCAGCCAUCACACCCUGGUGCUGGGGUCCUCAGGUCAACUCUGGGCCUUUGGCAGUGGGGUCAAAGGUCAGCUAGGGACUGGCAUUACGGAGGGCUGCUUGCGACCCACCCCAGUGCUGCUGAAAAGGGCUUCUGGUGGGGCAGCAACAGUCAUACAUAACGACAUGAAGAUAUCAGUGGGAUGGAAUUCAAACUUCAUUUACACCCCUGAGAGUUCUGAAAGAGAACAGCCAAUCGGGAGGUUAGAUAAAGCCAGGCUGCAAAAAUGGCUGACGAUGGAGCAAGGAAAUGCAGAGGCGCAAAGAGAAAUAUCCUUGAUGUUCUCAACAAGUUCAAGUCUUGUGGCCAGUUUCACCAAAGCCAGG